GCCACCGGGCCCUCUGACCACCACCAGUAGGCAAUGGGUGAAGUGUCUUGCCCAAGGACACAACGACCGAGACUGUCGAACCCGGGGCUCGAACCGGCAACCGGCUUGACCCAGCAACCUUCCGGCAACCUUCCGGAAACCUUCCUAUUAGAAGACGAACUGCCAACUCUUGAGCCACGAUCACCCCAUAACCAUUCAACCUUCCAAAUCACUGAAUUCUGGGGUUCCAAUCACUUCCAUGGCCCCAGGUGUAUAACAUCAAGCACCAUAGGCAUGCUGAUUGCUUCCAGAAACAUUUGUGAACAAAUGGGUCGCUCUCAGGAGCUCAGUAAAUUCCAGCCCAGUACCCUGAUGUAAUGCCACCUGUGCUACAAGUCCAGUUGUGAAAUUUCCUCGCUACUAAAUAUUCCAAAAUGAAAGCAAUUUGGAAUAACAUCUAACCCAAGUGGUAGGCCACAUAAAAUCACUCAUUAGAUCAAUCUUUCUUUUUCAGUGUGAGCUGACUCCAUGUUGGAUGAAGGCGUCACCAAAUUUCUGCAGACUCAAUCGCUACAGACUUCCAAACUUCACCUGGCCUUCAAAUGAGCUCAAGAACAAUGUAUACAGAGCUUAAUGGAAUAGGUUUCCAUGGCCAAGCAGCUGCGUUCAAGCCCUAGCUUUGUGGAAACAGCUUGGGGAUGGCCUUUCCCAUGUUUCAAGAUAACUACACAGCAGUGCAAAAAGUAAGGUCCCUAAAGACACAGAUGAGAGAGUUUGGUAUGAAGGAACUUGACUGGCUUCCACAGAGUCCUCAAUUUAAACCAAGAUAACACCUUUGGGAUGAUUCAGAGCGGAGACUGAGAGCCAAGCCUUCUUGUCCAAUGUCAGUGUCUGACCUCACAAAUGCGCUUCUGGAAGUGGUCAAAUAUGAAUAUAUUCCUAAACCUUGUGGAAAGGGUUCCCAGAAGAGUUGAAGAUCUUAUGACACAGACCAUUCUCAUUCCAGACACGUAACAUACCAACGAUUUGUCAAAUCCCGAGGCGUCCAAUUGGAACGCGAAAGGUACCCUUCCGCGUCGCUAUGAUACGCGCCGGAUUGUGGAUGGAAUCCAAUAGAAUGACGCUCACGGCGGUAACACAUGUUCCAACUGUGUAUUCCAGCCCUAACCCUAACAUUAAUUUUAACCCUAACCAUAACCUCACCCCUAACGUUAACCACAACCUUAACAGUGUUAGAUGUUAGUGUUAGGUGUUAGUUACUGUUUUCCAAAGUGAUUCAUGAUGUGAAAGUAAAACGAAAUGUACAUGUGUAGAUUCAUUCCAAACAGUUCUUGUACAAAAGGCCCGCCAGUCGGCGGACCUGACGAACAGAGCCACAUCUGCCGAGUAAAUACAUCAGCAUACAGCUGCCGACCAGCCAAUGAGCGGUGAGGCAACCCAUCCUCUUCACCAAUCAGAAGACACAAUUCUACCUCAUCAUUACGCACACACGUCGACGCAGAGAGUUCGGUCGGAGCUGCAGGUGUGGAGAGUCAGCAGAGUUUUACUCACCAUGUGGAUUUUCGUUCUUUCUAAUGCUGUUAGCGGUGUGCGUCCAUGAGACUAAACCACACCAUCACUUCACCACACGGCAUAUAGCAUUUUACAGCCUGUUAAAUCCCCUCACUCACAUUAUGGAUGUGUACCUCGGCUUCUUGUUAAAUAAAUGAAUGAACGACA
Molecule: long non-coding RNA, 1698 nt
Organism: Oreochromis niloticus (Nile tilapia)
Lineage: Eukaryota; Metazoa; Chordata; Actinopteri; Cichliformes; Cichlidae
Exons: 2
Source: RefSeq, a predicted model, not a curated record